AACGAACGCUGGCGGCAUGCCUAACACAUGCAAGUCGAACGAUUGCCUUCGGGUGAUAGUGGCUCACGGGUGCGUAACGCGUGGGAAUUUGCCCUUAGGUCCGGAAUAACAGCUGGAAACGGCUGCUAAUACCGGAUGAUAUCCCAAUAUCUAAUAUGUAUUGCCUGAGGAUGAGACCGCGUUGGGUUCGUUGGUUGGUGGGGUAAACGCCUACCAAACCGUCUAUCCCUAGCUGGUCUGAGAGGAUCAGCAGCCACACUGAGACUGAGACACGGCCCAGAAUACUACGCGAGGGGGCAGAGGGGGAUAUUGGAAAACGGCGGCAAGCAUGAUGCAGCUAUGCCGGGUGAGUGAUGAAGGCCCUAGAGAUGUAAAGCUCUUUUACCCGCGAAGAUAAUGACGGUACCCAAAGAAUAAGCCCCGGCUAACUCCGUG
RNAcentral lists this ribosomal RNA (435 nucleotides) under uncultured bacterium. RNAcentral describes it as "partial 16S ribosomal RNA". It matches the Rfam family "Bacterial small subunit ribosomal RNA", at positions 29 to 507 of the family's 1533-position model. The record is from RNAcentral.